UCAGAGUCUUACAUUUACGGUGUAUUAACUCUGAAAGGGAGUGAAAUCUUUGUCUUAUUCUUACUGUAACUAACGUAACAUAACAUAAUCGAAUAUAUUCCAUAAAGACAGAAUAUUACAUUACUCUUAUUUUAGCGAUGCAUAUGUAGGGGAGCCUACAAAGUCUAUUCGGUAAAGACUUUUAUUUUGAUAUUGCGAUGACAUGUACACCGCCAUUUUGUGCGAGGAGAGGCGGGGUGAGAGGGAAUUAGAGCAGCGGCGGGAGUUGAGCUGAGGAGUGAACUUCGGGAAUAUUACAGCGGUAAAAAAAAAAAAAAAAAAAAAAAAGUUCAGUUUAGACCCCUGACGUGUUCCAGAGACACAUUACGUUGUUUCUAAAAAUCAGUUUGUCUUUAACGAGUCUGUUCUAGAAGGCGAUGAAACGGGUUUUCCUUCGUGUGUGUGUGUGGGUGGAGCGGGGAAAUAGGCCUGUUAGCGCUUACAGAGUUAUUAGCCGGUGGAGUCGAAUACUCCCGUUUUUUCUUUAUGUUUCACGUAGAGUUUUGUUUUGUUUUGUUUGUUCAAACGAACUCAAAACGUAACGGAUGCCAUUACUUAUGGUGUGAAAAGAGUUGGCUGACUUAUCGGAUAGGGUCGUGUAUUGUCCGUUUUCUCCACUGGAUCUCCGUUAGCCGGGAUUGCGGCCUCGCUGGAUCAAACUAGUCUUGAGCGUGAGCACAAUCGCUAAGGGUCAUUGGGUGGAGAGACAUUACUCUGCCCUCUGCUGGACAUUCAGCGCCUCAUCCAAGUUAUAAGAGUGCUGAUGGACAUUAUGCUUCCCAUCUUCAACUGAACACUGUGAUGAGUAGCAACCAGGUCCACCUGUGACUGUACUGAAAGGCUUGAAGGGCUUCUUACAUGCUAAACUGCGUCAAGCAGGGUUGUGUCCUGGGGCCGACCCUGUUCAGCCUCAUGUUCUCCGCAAUGCUGACUGACGCCUUUGGAGACGGUGAUGCUGGGAUCGGCAACAAGUACCGCACAGAUGGUAAUCUGUACAACCUCAGGUUGCUCCCAGCGAAAACCGAGGUUUCGACAGACAUCAUCAGGGAUUUCCUCUUUGCUGAUGACCGUGCCCUUAACAAUAGCACAGAAACGGACAUGCAACGCAGCGUUAACAGGUUUUCUAGUGUCUGCACAAACUUCCUUCUCCAUCAGCACCAAGAAGACUGAGGUCAUGCUUCAGCCAGCCCAGGGAAGCCCUAUACAGAGUCCAAUAUCACUGUCAAUGGUCAGAGACUGAAAACAGUGACCAAGUUCACCUCGGCAGCACGUUGUCACAAAAUGCCACAAUAGAUGACGAAGUUAACGUCCACAUUGCGAGAGCCAGCUCAGCUUUCGGGAGAUUGUAUGCCAAGGUUUGGAACCGAAGAGGCAUCACCAUCCAGACCGAGCUGAAAGUGUACAGGGCAGUUGUGCUCCCCACACUGCUGUAUGCAUGCGAAACGUGGACAGUGUACCAACGUCAUGCCAGGAAACUGAACCAUUUUCACACCACAAGUCUCAGGAAAAUCCCUGGCAUCAAGUGGCAGAACAAAGUCCCAGACACUGUGGUUCUCAAUCAAGCAGGCCUCCUAAGCAUCUUCACCAUCUUGAUGACGACCCAGCUACGCUGGGCAGGACGAGUGACAGACCAACGUCUACCAAAGAUACUCCUCUAUGGCAAGCUCCAGCAAGGUCAGCGUUGCCAAGAAGGCUAAAAGAAACGCUUCAAAGAUACCCUUAAAGCCUCACUGAAAGCGUUUAACAUCAAUCCUGCCUCCUGGGAACAGACUGCAUUGGAUCGUGACACCUGGUGCUCCUCCAUCCACAAGGGCUCUUUGCUGUGUGAGAUAAAUUGGACAGCUGCAGCCGAACGAAAGGGGCAAGCCAGAAAAACCCGUGCCAGCAACCUUCCCGGAGACGUCCACCCCAUCCCCUGUCCCACCUGCCUUAGGACUUUACGUGCAAAGAUUGGCCUGACCAGCCAUCUACGCAUGCUUCAUCUCUGAUGACAAAAUGGUCUUCGUCGCCACGACGGACAACUAAGAAGAACUAGGAAGUUCUCCUUGUUGAGUGCUGUAUUGAGGCUAAGCCGGUAAUUUUGUAAACACACUCGAGUUUAUCUCUCAGGUUUCCCGUCUCUCUGCAGCUUUCUCGCUGUGUCAGACCAAACCUCUUGGACCUUGUCUCUUGGGGUUUCUCUGGUUUUCUCCAGUUCCUUGCUUUAAAAAAAACUUGUUUACUUAUUUCCUUUGUAAGUCGGUCCUCUCUGACCUUUUAUUUUCAGUUUACUCCUCGUGAGCGUUUGGCUAGGCCCACUCCAUGGUCUGUUUGUGCAGGGUUGGUAGUUCACUGCGCUGCAUGUUGGUCUCUCCAUCCUCCAGCCUCAGGUUCAAGUCCAGUGUGGCGUAACCCUUUGUUUCCCCCUCUUUGUGGUGAGGUGUUCUUCCUUAAGUUCAUUUCCCGAGGCCUAGCCCUAAUUACUGAGAGAGUAGUUAGUCAGAGUUCCUUGGUAGUUAAUGAAAGAGGAUUCGUUCUUUGGAUGUUUUAGUCCUGCAUAUUUAUGUAUGAACUAUGAAGUAUUGUACAUUACUCGUGUUUGUGUUAUUUGUAUCUGUCAAAACAUGUCUAGUGUAAUGGUAUAAAUCUUAAAAAAUAAGUAGGACCAAACAUCAUUAUAUUUAUUAAUUUAUUGGAAUAUAAAAAGUGCAGAGUGCAGUAGGAACGUGACAGUGACAGAAACACAAACCAGUUAUGAUUACAGUAGAAGAAAUUAGCUUUACUUUAAUAAUGUACUUUAGACACAAUUUCAUGUCUUUUCACUGUCCUAAAUACUCUGCACUGGUGUAGGGGUGGAAAAGAACAACAACAAAAAAAAAGCCUUCACUCAGAUUUCUCACUAAGGUUUUGGUUUUCCAGAGCAUCGUUGGCGAGAUUCACGAUCUGAUCGAGUGCCUUGAGGAUCAGAACAUCCACGUCAUUGUUUGAACUUGAGUUCGUGCAUGGCCAGGAAGUGUAGUUCUUGUCGGCCAUGUUUGUAGUUGGCACUGCAUUCUGGGAAUUGCAGUUGCAAGUUCACCACAAUGUGACACUAAUAUACACCAUUUAAUUACACAAUUACCUUUUCUUUGAUCUUCUUGCUGGUGUAGACCUUUCUUAGGUCCUCUUUAACCAGUUUGCAGGCUUCGUCCUCUUUUGUCAAGAUGAUUACGUGAGGCAAAUCUGUACAAUAGGAUGAAUACCUGCAGUGAUUAAUUCUUAUCACAGUCAUUUAUCACUGAUUACAAUUUUUAUUAAAUAAGUUUUAUUAAUUAGAUGCAUUCAGUGUUGUGUAACAUCCACGAUAGAAGUUAUCUUCUGUUAUCGCUUCUGCUCUCGCAGCUAUAAACAGUUUCUCUUACGAGUCUCUCUCUUUAUUUUCUCCCCUGAUGUUAAUAAGAUAAAAAUCACAGCUUGUCGUGUUCCUGAGAAACCACUAAUCAUAAUCUCCUCUGUCCUGAAGAUCAGAAAACUCUGUUGCAGCUUUACCUCUGACUAUAAUAACAGGACUUACUAUACUCUGAAGCCUUUUCACGGAUCCGUUUCAUCUUUUGAAUAAGCUUUUGGUCCAUGAGUGACACUUUGUUUGCAGGUAUAAUGUUGACCAGGCAGAAGGGUUUAUCAGAAGUUUUGCAAUUUGCAAACUGCAAAUUGGUGAAAGAAUAAAAAUUACAGAUGUUUUACUGUGCAAAAAUCAGUGUAGGUUACUACAGAACUCCAGCUGUACUAUAAAGACUGACUACAUGAACAGUAUUCUAACGUCAUAUAUAUUAACAUUAUAUACCGUAACAAUGCUAAAAAUAACGGUUUUGUCUCAUAUUUUGAGAGUAAAAUGUUCCCCUCACUUUAUAUCAGGGGUGUCCAAACUUUUUUUAGUGAGGGCCAAAUACAGAAAAAUAAACAAAGGGCCGGGCCACACACUAGAGGUGAAAUAUUGACACAUGAAUACGAACAAACAGUUUAGGGUUUAAAAUUUAAAAUGAAUAAAGAACUGUUUAUUAUUAAAGUAAAAAGUGUGGCAUGAAUUAAAUACAAUGUCAGUUGUGUGUGUUUGCAAAGAGUCAGGUUAAUAACUGGAACUGCACUGCCCGUGCAGUGGAACGAACAGGCCUGUAGGUGGCACAGGUGUCGUAACUGUGUGUCUAUUUCUAACUCACCUAUAAUGUGAAGAACGUUGCACUCAGUGGGAGCAGUGAUGCUGUCCUUUGGAUUGAAGGAUGGCUGAAAUGUCAGGAGAAAGUUUGGUGGUUGAGACAUGAAGGACUUCACAGAGAUGGCUAUCAGCCAUUCUGGUUCUCAAUCUGCUUUUGUUCUGAUUUAACAGAGAAAAUGCUUGUUCACAGAUGUAUGUUGAGCCGAACAGGCUCAUCAUUCUUUUUGCGUGGCGUCUCAUCAGAGGAAACUUGGCACUAUCCAAACUCUGAUAGAAGUCAAGGGGGGAGAGAAGCUGAUGUUGACUCUUCAGAGAAUCAUCGCAUUGCAUUUCAAUCAGUUCUAACUGCAGACUCUCUUCCACUUCUUCUGCAUCCACCAGGAAGGGGGUCGAGAACAGCUUGAUUUGUUUUUCAAUGACAGAAAAAUCUUGGAAACGCAUGUUGAAUUCUGUCACGAGAGAUGUAAUCACAAACACAUUUCCCCUUUUUAUCAGAAAGGACGGCCUUUGGAAAAGCAGACUUGAUUUCAGACAGCACAGGGAAGUGUGCAGCAUUACAGCUUCGUAGUUGCAUCUCAGACAGGUGGAGCUUUACACAGAAGGCUUUCAUGUGCGCAUACAGGUGUGGCACCAGCUGUUCUUUGCCUUGUAGGUUCUUGUUCAGUGUAUUCAGAUGAUGAGUAAGAUCAACUAAAGAUGCCAGGUUGGCUAACCACAGAGGGUCACUCGGUUCAUGAAGAGGUCGGCCCUUUUCUUUCAUAAACCGAUCGAUUUCUGAUCUCAUCGAAUAAAACCGCUGCAGCACAUAGCCGCGGCUCAGCCAGCGCACCUCAGAGUGGUAGAGUACAUCCCCGUAUCCAGCAUCCACUUCAGAAAGGAAAGCUUGAAAUUCUCUGUGGUACAGACCUCUAGCUCGAAUUAUGUUGACAGUUUUUACAACAGUGUUCAUCACAUCGCCCAGCUGGACAGUCUUGGCACACAGUGCUUCUUGGUGGAUUAUACAGUGCAUCCUAAAAGCCUCACCUCCGCUCUCUUUUACCUUGGCGCACACCAUCGAUGCCAUUCCUUUACGAUCGCCCGUCAUGGGCGGAGCUCCAUCCGUUGUUAUUCCACAGAGCUUGUCCCAUUUAAGCCGCAUCUUUUCAACUACCUCUGACACAGCUUCAAAAAUAUCUCUACCCGUCGUUGUGCCUUUUAGGCUUAUAUCAAGCAGCUCCUCAGUACAACAAAAAUUAUCAUCAACAGCUGUGCAGUGUCUGUAGCAUCUGUGCUCUCAUCGCAUGCUAUCGAGUAAAAAUCAAAAGCACAAGCUUUGUCUCUCAGCUGAAGUUUCAAGUUAGCUGACAAGUCCUCGAUUCUUCGCACCACUGUAUUUCUGGAUAAGCUCACGUUGUUGAAAUCCUGCACUUUCUCCGGGCACAUUAUUUCUGCGACUUUGAUGGGGCACUGCUUUAUGAAACCACCGUCUGAGAACGGUUUACCGUGCUGGGCAAUAAGUUUAGCGACUUCAUAGCUUGCUGUUGUGGCGUUUUCCUGUAUUUUUUUGGCACCGAAAAAAAAAACUGUUGUUGAGCUUGCAGGCUAGCUGCCAUUUGCUUGACUUUCUGUGUUCGUUCGGCACCGGUGUACGAUGUGUAGCUCUGAUGUUUGGUUUCAUAGUGCCGACGGACAUUAUAGUCUUUCAUCACAGCAACAUCUUCAUUGCAAAUCAAACAGACACACUUUCCGUUGAUUUCUUUGAAAAAUAUUCAUUUUCCCACCGUGUUUGAAAUCUUCUACACUCACUUGCUAUUUUUCAUUUUCUGGGUGCUGCCAUUUAUGGUGACUUGCGGUAAAAGUUUUUCUUUGCUUAAUUUUGUUUAGUAGCGGUAACGGUUGAGAAGCACCGUUUCCGUGGCUGGCUCCAUCUAGUGUUGAAACUGAGAAGUGCAACAGAGUCGAGCUCAAGCUUCUAGUGUGGGCCAUAUUCAAUUAUAUUUUCAGAAUUUGCCGCGGGCCAAUAAAAACUGGACCGCGGGCCGUAGUUUGGACACCCCUGCUUUAUAUCCUUCCUCAAGAAACCCCUUUAAGGCUGUGAUGUCCUUUACAUGUGUGCCUUGACUAUCAUCAAUAUUAAUGUUUAUUUUAUGCUGUGCUCCAUGAUUUUAGUCGAGUCACAUCACGUACUCGUUCGUUACACAUUCUCACUCCUAGAUUAACUCCCAUAAUUGGGAAAAUAAAUUCAUUAAUAACUAGGCUAAAUCGGGAGUAAAUAAUAAACAGUAUCAGUAUGUAAUAUUAAGGUUAACAUAUCAUCAUCUGAUUAAAUAUUAUAAGACUAAGACUCCUGGAGGUGGUGAUGGAGAUGGUGGAGGAGAAAUAUAUGGAGGAAUUUUAGUCUCAGGCCCUCCCAUUUUAUUCAGUUCAAUGAAUCCAGUUGAACAAUGCUGAAGGGAAAAAGUAGAUUUUGACUGUUAGUUCCAGUAAAAAAAAAAAAAGCUAUAAAUAAUAAUAAUAUAUUAGAGAUGCACCGAUACUAAAUUUCUCAGCCGAUACCGAUAAGCGAUUAUUCAGAGUGAUAUCGGCCGAUACCCAUAGUUCUGCCAUCUGUUCCUUCUUUUAAAUUGAUAAUAAUUAAUUUAAAAAAAUUCUGAAGGAAUUGCAAAUAAAAACCUUAUUCUGUCCAUUUCAGCAAGUUGUUUCACGGUAACUGGUCUCAUGAACAGAAAACACAUUACUCGCAUUAACAGGAACUCAAUUCUGAAGAUUAAAGUAAGAUUUCUUCACUUAUUGAAUGUUAUUAAUUCAUUAACAUUGAUUAUGAGAUAUACUACUUUACAAAUAUAUUCUUAUGUACAAUAUAUAUACUUUUUUUGCCAACUCGUCUUCAUUUAAAUCUUUCAACGUGUACUGGCCUUUUAAUUCAGGGGGGCGGGGAUCGACUCAACACUGAAACUCCUCCGUCGUAAAAUUUACUUCCGUUAUUAGUGCAGAGAUGACAGACAUUGCAGAGUUUACAAACUGCAGAUUUGUCAUCAUUCCACACAAGAGACGACAUCUUUACACACAGCACGAAAUCCAUGUGUUUUCCCGCCCUCUUUUGAUUGACAGGAUAUAAUCGGCCCUGAUCAUCAGAUGUUUUUAAACUAAUAUAUAUAUAUAUGUGUGUGUGUGUGUGUGUGUGUGUGUGUGUGUGUGUGUUACAACCCACUAUCUUUGGAAUGGGAAGUUUUUUGUGUGCUGUGCCAUAUUUUGUGUGCAGGUCGAACUCCCUCCCAGAGUUUCCAGCCUGCCCUAGCCUGCCUUUCUCCUGCCUCCCAGGAUGACAUCCAUAUUUAAAGAGGAAAAGGAGGGAGAAUGGUGUGGGAUGAUGGAGGUGGUUACAUGUGUUGGUGUUUAGAGAUUGUGUUUGAUUGUGCUGCUUUAUGCUAUAUUCUGACUUCUGUUCUGGUUUUUGACUUUGAGUUUGGUUGUCCCUGUACCCUUUUUGUUCAUUCUAUCCACCAUUGUAUACAUGUUCACUUGGUUCACUGGCAAUAGGGGUGUGGCUGCCAUUUCUUUUGGGAGAGGGUCCUUUUGUCUUUUUUUUUUGCUUAGGUAGUUAGGGAAGCAUCCUUGUAUUUUAUUUAUUUUCCUUUAAGGUAAGAUUGCUACCUAACAAUAGAAUUCUUUUUUUCUAUUAUUUUGGCCUUGGCCCACCCUGAAGUUACGCCUGGUUUGGUUCCUUGUACAGUAAUAUGUAUAUAAUUUUGUGUGUUACAAUAUACCACUACUUUUUAACACAAACCUGGGUGUGUUGUUAUUCCUGGCUUCCCUUAUUUAAAGGUCAAAUUCCAUUGAAUCCCGAGCUGGUUACUCUGCACGGUCUAACCUAGACUGAGCCGUAACAGUGUAGUCAUACAAAUAAAAAUAAUUCCAAUUUCAGAAUUUCAUUUUGUUUGUUAAUUCACAGAUUUGUAAAGAUGUACUCACAGCUUCUGACUGGGUCGACUGUUAGAGCAGCUUCCCCAGUUCCCACUUUUAUACCUUCAGUUUUUGAACUCUAGCACACACGCACACACACACACACACACAUGGACAUGUAGCCUCUCAUUUGGCCUCAAUUCCAAUUCAAAUGGAAAGUAACAGCAUUUUACAAACACAGAAGGCCGUAGAUAAUCAUCUAGCUGUCAGUGGAUAAUAUUAAUGAUCAACUUUGUUAAAAAAUUAUACAACAAGAUUAUUGAGCCCUGUAAGGUAAUGUGCAGGGUGACUUCAGGUGAAUUGGGACAAUCCUGAUAAGUGAAGAUCAAAACUGAUGUGAUAAGAGGAACUGCGUGAUAUAAAUAAUAUCAGUUAAUUUCAUGUGACAUCAUAUAAGGGACCCUGUCCAGGGUGUACCCCGCCUUGUGCCCGAUGCUCCCUGGGAUAGGCUCCAGGUUUCCCCGUGACCCUGAAAAGGAUAAAGCGGUAUAGAGGAUGGAUGGAUGGAUGGAUCGAUCAUAUAAGGGCAUCAGUUGGUCAGUAGUGGCUCAACGGUUACUGAUUAGAAGAUUGAUGGUUCAAGCCCCAGCAUGCUGCCAUUGUUGGGUCCUUGAGUUGAGCAAGGCCCUCGACCUUCUUUGCUCCAGGGUUGCUGUAUCAUGGCUGACCCUGCACUCUGACCCCGACUUCAUAACGAGCGAGGAUAUGCCAAGAAAAUAAUUUCACCGUAUGUACAAAUAGUCAUUUCAGCGUAUUUGUAAUGUGACAAAUAAAGACAUCUUUUUUCUCUU
Long non-coding RNA from Ictalurus punctatus (channel catfish), 8943 nucleotides. RefSeq lists it as uncharacterized. NCBI's taxonomy places the organism in Eukaryota, Metazoa, Chordata, Actinopteri, Siluriformes, Ictaluridae. The transcript is spliced from 2 exons. The record is from RefSeq and is a predicted model, not a curated record.